Molecule: ribosomal RNA, 465 nt
Filed under: uncultured bacterium
Lineage: Bacteria
Description: partial 16S ribosomal RNA
Rfam family: Bacterial small subunit ribosomal RNA
Source: RNAcentral
CCUACGGGUGGCAGCAGUGGGGAAUAUUGCGCAAUGGGCGAAAGCCUGACGCAGCGACGCCGCGUGAGGGAUGAAGGUCUUCGGAUCGUAAACCUCUGUCAGCAGGGAAGAACGGUCACUGGGCUAAUCAGCAGUGAAUUGACGGUACCUGCAAAGGAAGCACCGGCUAACUCCGUGCCGGCAGCCGCGGUCAUACGGAGGGUGCGAGCUGUAAGCGGAAUUACUGGGCGGAAAGCGCUCGUAGGCGGUAUGUCAAGUAAAGGGUGAAAGCCCUAGGCUUAACGUGGGAACGGCCUUUGAAACUGGCAAACUAGAGUGUGUGAGAGGAUAGUGGAAUUCCAGGUGUAGGAGUGAAAUCCGUAGAUAUCUGGAGGAACAUCAGUGGCGAAGGCGACUAUCUGGCACAUAACUGACGCUGAGGAGCGAAAGCGUGGGUAGCAAACAGGAUUAGAUACCCUGGUAGUC